GAUGAAGAACGUAGCAAAAUGCGAUAAGUAAUGUGAAUUGCAGAAUUCAGUGAAUCAUCGAAUCUUUGAACGCACAUUGCGCCCGCCAGUAUUCUGGCGGGCAUGCCUGUUCGAGCGUCAUUUCAACCCUCAAGCACAGCUUGGUGUUGGGACUCGCGUUAAUUCGCGUUCCCCAAAUUGAUUGGCGGUCACGUCGAGCUUCCAUAGCGUAGUAGUAAAACCCUCGUUACUGGUAAUCGUCGCGGCCACGCCGUUAAACCCCUACUUCUGAAUGUUGACCUCGGAUCAGGUAGGAAUACCCGCUGAACUUAAGCAUAUCAAUAAGCGGAGGA
This 332-nucleotide unclassified non-coding RNA is filed under the name soil metagenome. Its description in RNAcentral is "partial contains 5.8S ribosomal RNA, internal transcribed spacer 2, and large subunit ribosomal RNA". The stretch from base 1 to 120 matches the Rfam family "5.8S ribosomal RNA", at positions 35 to 154 of the family's 154-position model. The record is from RNAcentral.